UCCGGGUUAGCCAAGUCUGGUAAGGCACCUGACUCUGAAUCAGGCAUACGGUGGUUCGAAUCCAUCACCCGGAGCCA
This is a transfer RNA of 77 nucleotides. It matches the Rfam family "tRNA". From Rfam's summary of the family: Transfer RNA (tRNA) molecules are approximately 80 nucleotides in length. Their secondary structure includes four short double-helical elements and three loops (D, anti-codon, and T loops).